Long non-coding RNA from Megalobrama amblycephala (Wuchang bream), 1756 nucleotides. RefSeq lists it as uncharacterized. The record is from RefSeq and is a predicted model, not a curated record. Lineage: Eukaryota; Metazoa; Chordata; Actinopteri; Cypriniformes; Xenocyprididae. The transcript has 3 exons.
GUAUUCUAUUUUGCGAUCUCCACCUAUAAAAUACAGCAUUUUUAUUACAUUUUGUCUUAUACUGCAUGUAAACAAUCACAAAAGGCUGAAAGAUCAAGAUCUGAACAUAGUUUAAAGACACAAAAUUGCAGGAAAAAUAUUUUGAGAAGCUGUCAGGUGAGAUAUGACACUAAAAUGUAUUCAUUUGGCAGAUGCUUUUAUCCAAAUCAAUUGCAAAUACAGUGCAUUUAAUAUGAGUAUGUGAGUUCACUAGGAAUCAAAUCAAUGAUUUCAGUGUCUAUAGAACAAUACUCUACAAGUUGAACUACUCUUGAGUUUACUAGGUAAAAAAGAUGUGAAAUGUCCCCAUCGGUGUACAUACCUGCUACAUAAUCUCCAAUGCCGACAGUGGUGAGAGUGAUGACGACAAAGUAAAUGGCUUCUAAAGUACUCCAUCCCUCGAUGUGUUUGAAAAUCACCGCUGGGAUGGUGACAAAAAUGAUGCAGCCAGCGAUGAUGAAGAGUAUGGUGGAGGAUGCUCUUUAUAAACAUGGUCCCGAGUUGAUCACCGAUCCCGGCCAACAGGAAGCCAAACAGAGGGAUGCCAAAUAUGGCGUAAAGGAUGCAGAAAAUCUUUCCGCCUUCAGUGCUGGGAGCGAUGUUUCCAUAUCCUGCAGAUGUGGGCGGAGAUGACAAGAGGACUCGCCAAAUGUGUCCUGGUGGGAAGAUUUUUGAGUCAGUCCUGCUCACAGCCAAGAACAACAACACCGACAACAGCCAGCUGGUCUCGCAUGACAGGACGGAGACAUGUCAACAUGACUGGCAUCUAUUCUGGUGAGAUUUAAUGUGAGUUUAAAGACACUUUUUCAAGCUGAAUCUGCAGCAUAAAGAUGCUUUACAUGCCCGAUAAAAUGUUUGUUUCAGAGCCACAUGGAUGAGUUUGUUGGGUUGAUAUUGCAUUGGAAAGAAAAUGUCUAUAAGGUCUCAAUCGUUGGUCCUACAGCAGGAUUAAAUGGAGAGUCUCCUCCUUAUCGGAUGGUUCUCCUGAGAAAAACACCCCAUUAAUCUCAACUUCAGAAGAGAUCUCUCUUCAAAUCAGACAUUAACCUUAUAAAGCCUACUGUAUUAUAUUUGAUACACACAUUUCUAAGGGCUGUAAAUGAUCAACAUGAUCAAAACUUUGCUGAAAAGUCAAUCUCCUACAGUCCUUCUGUCGAUUGAUAGUUGAUGCUUUUUUAGCAAGUGAAAGACCUUUUUAGUGUACAAACGUCCAAUUUACGUGUCUUUUUUUAGCUCUGAAAUCUUUACUGAUUUUACUGAAGUAAAUGUAAGAAUAAUUUUUAUAUUGUUAGUAAUAUUUCAAGAUAAACACUUACUGGAUAAAGCAACUUAAGUUUACUUGAUUAUCCAUCAUUUUAUUGUAAAACCAUGUUCAAAUGUGAGUAUAAAAAAUAUGAAUUUUGAGGAAGGUUUAUUUGUUCAUCUCUCAAUCAUUGCAUUAUAUGUUUUAAAUCUAAAACUAAGCAUUUAAAUAUCAUCUUACUAAGACAUAUUAUUGACAGAUAGAGUGACGAUUGAUAUUUAUAUGCAUUUUAUGUAAGUAUCUGCUAUAUUUGUAUAUUACAGUACAAGCUUUCAGAAUUUCAUCUUACUUUUUGUCCAUAUAAAUAUCAGCAUCUGCACCAAAUUGCUCAUUUUGGGCCUCAUUUUGGCCUUUUUUCCUCCAUAUCAUAUCAUAUCAUAUGAAUGCCUGAUGCCUAUGCAAAAUAACACAAAC